UUUAUACAUAAAUGUAUCUGUACAAAAAUAUAUAUGAUUUGAAUCAAAUCAAAAAUGAACAUUUUUCAUUGAAAAAUCGACCUACUUCAUGAAAAUUUUACAGGUAUGAUGUAUGAAAAUAUAAUCAUUGGACUUCUAUAUUCUUUUUCAUCUGUUUUGCUUUAUAACAAUCUGAUGAAUAGAAAAAAGAAUGUAGCCAGAAAUUUGUCUUUAUGAAAACUGGAAAGACUCUAAUAGAGGGAAUGGAAAGCUUACAGUUUGUAAUUUGAAAUAAUAUAAAUAGUAAUAACAUAUCUAUUUCAUAUUCUUACAGGAACCUUUAGUUGAAAAUAUAGAAAGGCAAUUCCAAUAAAAAGGAUAUUUCAUAUUUAUUCAUGACACUGCAAAAUGUCCUGGUAUGUAAUAGCCAACAUCCUCUUCAUUACUUUUAUAUAUGUUCUUAAUAAACCCAACACAAAGCCAAAGCACCAAAAUUGCUGCUCCUCAUCUUCCUAUAUGUUCUAGAAAUUCUCAAAAGUAUGAAAAACAAGGUUUGAAACUUACAAAAUUUCUAAAUAUAUGUUCACAAAAAGUGGUGCAAAUCUUUAUCUGCACAUAAAAAUUCCAGAAACCUUGGAAGACCACGGAAAACUGGUUGAAAACAAAAGUAACUAAUUACAAAAAAUUGAUAUCCUCCAUUGAAAAUGCUGCUGUGUACACAAUCAAGACUGAAAUCACCUGCAGCACUCCCAUCUUAAAACAAACCAUAUCUAGACAUCACCAAAUCCAAGAAUAAAUUAUAAAGAGACAGGUAAGGAAACAUCCAUACCAAAAUACAAAAGUCAUUUAAACUGUUGAUUUGUGACUUUUUUAUGUGUAACUGCUUGCCUGAAUCUUAUGGGUUCAACACAAAUUUCAGUGUUAAACUUAACAAAUAAAUAAAUCAAAAUCAAACUUGUGGAUAGGUCUCAUAUGAAAAGAAAACUAGUUUUCAUAAUCUAAAUAUGAUGUACAAGAUUCAUCCAUAUACUAGUUUACAUGAUUCAUCCAUAUACUAGUUUACAAGAUUCAUCCAUAUACUAGUUUACAAGAUUCAUCCAUAUAUUAGUUAACAUGAUUCAUCCAUAUAUUAGUUUACAUGAUUCAUCCAUAUACUAGUUUACAAGAUUCAUCCAUAUACUAGUUUACAAGAUUCAUCCAUAUACUAGUUUACAAGAUUCAUCCAUAUAUUAGUUUACAUGAUUCAUCCAUAUACUAGUUUACAUGACUCAUCCAUAUACUAGUUUACAAGGUUCAUCCAUAUACUAGUUUACAAGAUUCAUCCAUAUACUAGUUUACAAGAUUCAUUCAUAUACUAGUUUACAAGAUUCAUCCAUAUAUUAGUUUACAUGAUUCAUCCAUAUACUAGUUUACAAGAUUCAUCCAUAUAUUAGUUUACAAGAUUCAUCCAUAUACUAGUUUACAAGAUUCAUCCAUAUAUUAGUUUACAAGAUUCAUCCAUAUACUAGUUUAAAAGAUUCAUCCAUAUACUAGUUUACAUGAUCCUAUUUUGCAUAAUGACUGAGAGAGAAGUGAAUCAAGAUCUUGACAACAGGGUCACAAACCUGUCAUCUACAGCAUAUCAAAAUUCUUCAAAAGUGGUGGUUAGUAGGUUUUGACAACCAACAUUUUACGAGGACAAACACAUUUUGAGUAUUUUGAAAUUGAAAUAAUAGUGAGGACCAACAAAUUUUCUUGAAUGAAAACCAGGGGAAAAGAUAUUUUGAGAGCUCUGGUAUAUAGUUAUCUUAGAUACACUACACACAAAAUGUGAUGGUUGUAAGCCAAGAUGAUUCCCAUAUAUCAGCUGUGUUUGACUGCAAGAUGGAACCAAACACCGUCAUGCACAUGGACACAAAGGAUAAAAUGUUUUAAUGGAAUCAAAUUAAUUAUGAACCAGAUGCUCUGCAGGGCGCAGCUUUAUACGAUCACAGAGGUCGAACCUUGAACUGUUGGGGUAAGUAUGGACACAACAUCUAAGCUUGAUACAGCUCUGAAUUUGGAUUGUGAUUAAAUAGUUGACACAACAUAGGUUUCUGACAAAGAAUGAAUGUGGUCUAAGAACUUAUACUUAAAAACUUAAAAAUUUUAAAUUGGACAUUUACCUAUUAUGGUCCAAUAUCCAAAAUCUAAAUACAUGGUUUGAUUCAGCAUAUCAUAGAACCCCAAGAAUUCAAUUUUUAUCAAACUAGUUUAAUUUUGGACCCUUUGGACCUUAAUGUAGACCAAUUUGAAAACAGGAUCAAAAAUAAAGAAUCUAAAUACAUGGUUAGAUUUGGCAAAUCAAAGAACCCCAAUAAUUCAUUUUUUGAUGAAAUCAAACAGUUUAAUUUUGGCCCCUUUUUUGGCCCCUAACUCCUAUACUGUUGGGACCAAAACUCCCAAAAUCAAUCCCAACCUUGCUUUUGUGGUCAUAAACCUUGUGUUAAAAUUUCAUAGAUAUCUAAAAUUGAGAAUGGAAAUGGGGAAUGUGUCAAAGAGACAACAACCCGACCAAAUAAAAAACAAAAAACAACAGCAGAGGUCACCAACAGGUCUUCAAUGUAGCGAGAAAUUCCCGCACCCGGAGGCGUCCCUCAGCUGGCCCCUAAACAAAUAUAUACUAGUCUAUUUACUUAUAAUAAAGUUAUUGUGCAAAAACCAAGAAAAAUGCUUAUUUGGGACUUUGUUUUGGACCCUAAUUCCUAAACUGUUGCAACCAAAACUCCCAAAAUCAAUCCCAACCUUCCUUUUGUGGUCAUAAACCUUAUGUCAAAAUUUCAUAGAUUUCUGAACACUUCUACUAAAGUUAUUGAGCGAAAAACCAAGAAAAAUGCUUUUUGGGGCCCUUUUUGGCCCCUAAUUCCUAAACUGUUGGCACCAAAACUCCCUAAAUAAAUCCCAACCUUCCUUUUAUGGUCAUAAACCUUGUGUUUAAAUUUCAAAUAUUUCUAUUUACCUAUACUAAAGUUAUAGUGCGAAAACCAAAUGACUUCUGACGCUAACAUCAUACCAAUAUACGACCAAAAAAUUUUCAAUUUUUGCGGUCGUAUAAUAGGAAAUCAAAGUAUUUUAAAGUGAUAUAUUGGACUGAUUGAUUGGUGUUUUAACACCACUUUCAGCAUUAUAGUGCUUUUUGUGGCAGUCAAAUGUACCUACCAGGUACCAGAUUCAAGCUAUAAACAGUCGUCAGUACUGACAGGCUAGUGAUACAUUAGUUCUGACUACUUAGACCACCUGGCCACUGAGGUAAUGUGGACAUAGAUUGAUGGAAUCUUAAAAGGUACAUAUUAAAUAUACAAUGUAAAGCUUUUCUUAUUUCUUACAUCCAAUUGCAUUGAGUGUGUGGGUAAAGGUUAUAUCUUUGGCUAGCUUGCUUGAUAGCUGAAUAGUAAAGUCAUUAUUAGGUAAGGUAAACUAUAUGCCUUUCGAAGUAGUCUAGUCCUACAGACAGAUUAUUGGUUAUCUGUCAGACUAGUAUACUCUUAGAGGAUGAGAGUUACCUAACCUAAUUAUGACUUCAAGGUUCAGCUAACAAGCAAGUUAACCAAAGAUAAUACUUUUACCUACACACUCAAUGCAAUCGGCUGUAAAUAUAAAGCUUUGAAACACUAUUAUUUGCUGACAAAAUGGCCUAAGUUUUGUCUUAGUAAGACAUUAAUUGAAAAUAGGGUUUGCUCUACACAAUCUUAACAUGAAUCAAAUGAUUUUUAGAUUCAGAUUCUGAUAACAAA
This 3731-nucleotide long non-coding RNA is filed under the name Mytilus galloprovincialis (Mediterranean mussel). Lineage: Eukaryota; Metazoa; Mollusca; Bivalvia; Mytilida; Mytilidae. The record is from RNAcentral.